GCCAGCAGCCAUAUCACUCUGCAACUAACAACUGCCAACCCAUUGAAGCUAAGUAGGUGUGAGCCUGGUCAGUUACCUGGAUGAGAGACCCCCUGGGAAAAACUAAGGUUGCUGCUGGAA
RNAcentral lists this ribosomal RNA (120 nucleotides) under Lepisosteus oculatus (spotted gar). The record is from RNAcentral. Lineage: Eukaryota; Metazoa; Chordata; Actinopteri; Semionotiformes; Lepisosteidae.